UUCUCUCAUCAAUGUACAUGUCAGGACUGCCAGUGUAGGCCUCUGCAUAGUCACUGACUGGAGACGCCACCUAGAGAAUUUCCUGCAACUCCAGCAACUGAAAGUCAAAUCUUUUGCCUACACAACAGAAUACCAAUCACCAAAAGCCACAGUCACUUAAAAUCACCAAAGCAGUACCAAUUGACCCUGGAGUAUCCAUGCAUAAUUGAUGUGAGGUAUAGGAGAACGUAGAAAGAGAACAGAUGCAGGGCUCACCACCGGGCUGCAGUCCUGGGGGAUAAGGCCUGCUUCUGAGGGGCUUCUCCAUGUCCUCAUCCUUCCCUCCAAUUCCACCCACUCCCU
Long non-coding RNA from Myxocyprinus asiaticus (Chinese sucker), 342 nucleotides. RefSeq lists it as uncharacterized. NCBI's taxonomy places the organism in Eukaryota, Metazoa, Chordata, Actinopteri, Cypriniformes, Catostomidae. The record is from RefSeq and is a predicted model, not a curated record. The transcript has 3 exons.